UUAAGGAAGUGAAAUGUUUAUUUUAUAUAUACACAUGGUUAUUUAGGAGACAAUGCAAGCUGGCAGAUGCUAGGCAUUGUAUAUGUCACUGUAUAGAGAUCAUUGAUAUUUUAUGAUUGGUUAAUGAGUGAUCAUGUGAUUAUAGGCUUGUAUGUGAUUGGUUUACAUACCAAUGAUGGCUUGGUAUAAUUAUAGUGGGAAACUUGAAUUUAGUUAAGUUUUGUACAACACUUCAAGACUGAAGUUCUCUCUUCCGGCAAGGGUGCCGUGAAUGCCUCUGUUGAUUGCUGAGUUGACAUUAAAGUUAAGAUUUGAAAUUACAGUAUAUCUGUGUUGGCUGAAUUGUUUGAAGUACAUUGGUUUGCUGGAGUUGAUGACCAAGAAGUGUGCUAAUUGUGUUUAAAUCAAGUACAGUACAACCAGAAGACGUGAAGUACAGAAGUCAGCUACAGUAUAGUAAAACAAAUACUAUACAUCGUCACAACUUAUAUACAACGUUACACAGCUAAAAAUGAGGAAAACGCGUGCGGAAAUACAAAAGGCGUACAAAGAGAGGAAGAAAUUAAAUGACCCUUCAUCUCUGGAAAAUUAAUGUAAACAACAAGCUGAUUAUCGUGUACCUGUUUAUUGAUGAUUUGACAGAUAUGUUACCAUACAUGUUCCUAACUUUGGAUCAUAAUAUGUAUAUUCCAGUAGAAUUAUUUCUGAUUCUUAUCUUUUCAUCGGGAUGAUAAUGUCCGAGUGCGUGUUUGUAUGGAAAAUAAAUCCAAAAUGACAACCUUCUGGGUUAUAUAUAGCAACUGCUGCUAAUUUGACUCUUCCAAUCCAGAGACAAAAACUGUUGACAGUGGUCAUUAUGAAUAGAAAAUGUGGGUUUUUUCUUGUUUGACCAUUAAUGUCAUUAAAAAAAUGUCCUUACAGUGACUGCACAUCACUAAAUGCAGUUCUUAACUGCAAACUUACAUUCAUAUCCAAUGACUAUAUCUGAAACCAACCAUUUUAAAGAGAUAAACUUGUGGUAACGUAUCUGUUAGUUUAUUAAAGACAGCUAAAAAGUGUCAAUUUUUAAAUGCUUUUCCUCAAAAAUCGGGUAUUGUUAAAAAUCGCCCAUGCAUUGUUUCGUGUUGUGCAACUAUUAAAGUUUAUAAUUUUGAAA
RNAcentral lists this long non-coding RNA (1156 nucleotides) under Anneissia japonica. RNAcentral's name for it is "uncharacterized LOC117106270, transcript variant X1". The record is from RNAcentral. Lineage: Eukaryota; Metazoa; Echinodermata; Crinoidea; Comatulida; Comatulidae.